GCGGUAACCGCCUAGCCUUUGUCCUGCCAAAAACGAGAGAGAAGAGGGUAGAGAGAGAAUUGGUUAGGAUUUCAGUUUAAAAAAAAAUAAAAAAAUAAAAAAAGAGAGAGAGAGGAAGGAAAAGGGGUAAGAGAAGAAGAGAGGGAAGGGAGGACUUAUCUUUUNCCGGCAACCGGCGGCGGGUGGCUUCCGAUCUGCCAAAGAGGGAGAGAUUAGAUUAUAAAAAAAAGGGAAGGAGAGAAAGAGAAAAACUAAAGAAAGUUAGGGUUUUUACCAGGGCAAAC
Molecule: long non-coding RNA, 284 nt
Filed under: Salvia miltiorrhiza (redroot sage)
Lineage: Eukaryota; Viridiplantae; Streptophyta; Magnoliopsida; Lamiales; Lamiaceae
Description: long non-coding RNA (SMIL_LNC003800)
Source: RNAcentral